Molecule: long non-coding RNA, 686 nt
Filed under: Pan troglodytes (chimpanzee)
Lineage: Eukaryota; Metazoa; Chordata; Mammalia; Primates; Hominidae
Description: long non-coding RNA NONPTRT004914
Source: RNAcentral
AUUAGCAGCAGUGGUGGCAGUGGUGGUGGGAUUAGCAGCAGUGGUGGCAGUGGUGGUGGCAGGAUUAGCAGCAGUGGUGGCAGUGGUGGUGGCAGGAUUAGCAGCAGUGGUGGCAGUGGUGGUGGCAGGAUUAGCAGCAGUGGUGGCAGUGGUGGUGGCAGGAUUAGCAGCAGUGGUGGCAGUGGUGGUGGCAGGAUUAGCAGCAGUGGUGGCAGUGGUGGCAGGAUUAGCAGCAGUGGUGGCAGUGGUGGUGGCAGGAUUAGCAGCAGUGGUGGCAGUGGUGGUGGCAGGAUUAGCAGCACUGGUGGUCAUGGUGGUGGGAGCAGCAGUGGUGGCAUCAGUGGUGGCAGGAUUAGCAGCAGUGGUGGCAGUGGUGGUGGCAGGAUUAGCAGCACUGGUGGUCAUGGUGGUGGGAGCAGCAGUGGUGGCAUCAGUGGUGGCAGUAGUAAAAGCUACUGUGUCUUGAGCAUUGCCAAGUGCCAUGCAUUCAGUCCACCCAACAACUCUGUGAUGGUUUUUGCCUACUCCCCUUUCACAGGUGAGGAGAGACAAGUGGACAGGAGAGUGGGGGUCUACUUGCCAGGCAUUCCAGGGUUUUAAUAAGAUGUGACGGAAGCUGACAUUUUUGCAAGCACCAAGAACUCGCGUCACUUUGAAAACUUGCAAGUUGAUUUGAAGAAGCACCA